GAUGAACGCUGGCGGCGUGCCUAAUACAUGCAAGUCGAGCGAACAGACGAGGAGCUUGCUCCUCUGACGUUAGCGGCGGACGGGUGAGUAACACGUGGAUAAUCUACCUAUAAGACUGGGAUAACUUCGGGAAACCGGAGCUAAUACCGGAUAAUAUAUUGAACCGCAUGGUUCAAUAGUGAAAGACGGUUUUGCUGUCACUUAUAGAUGGAUCCGCGCCGCAUUAGCUAGUUGGUAAGGUAACGGCUUACCAAGGCAACGAUGCGUAGCCGACCUGAGAGGGUGAUCGGCCACACUGGAACUGAGACACGGUCCAGACUCCUACGGGAGGCAGCAGUAGGGAAUCUUCCGCAAAGGGCGAAAGCUUGACGGAGCAACGCCGCGUGAGUGAUGAAGGUCUUCGGAUCGUAAAACUCUGUUAUUAGGGAAGAACAAAUGUGUAAGUAACUAUGCACGUCUUGACGGUACCUAAUCAGAAAGCCACGGCUAACUACGUG
RNAcentral lists this ribosomal RNA (497 nucleotides) under uncultured bacterium. Its description in RNAcentral is "partial 16S ribosomal RNA". It matches the Rfam family "Bacterial small subunit ribosomal RNA", at positions 28 to 507 of the family's 1533-position model. The record is from RNAcentral.